AUGCGAUGCCAGCAUCCCCUGCACCGUGUUCCACAGCUCUGCUGCAGUGUGGCACGUCGCAACCUGGAUGGCCAUCUCGCGAGGCAGUGUGGUCAGCAGGUAGGAGAACACCUGCUGAUCCCGCACGUACCACGCAUCGAACUCUGGAUUGGGAGCCUUGGACUUGGUCUUACCGUCGCUGCUGGCGACCUCAAUGUCCAUCGGGGGCACCACCUGCUCGACGUCGAGGAUGGACGCCAUCUGCGCCCCUCGGAUGGCCGAGAGCACGGUGCGCGCCAUAGCGCCUCGUUCCCUCUCGUGAGCUUCUCUGUUGCGGUGUGUGCAAACGGAGAUGAGGGGAAGGAGUUCGCCGAAGAGCUUGCCAUGGAUGAAUUUGAGGUAGGCUCUGAUUACCAUGAAAGAAGGAAAGGGUUUAAGCGUAUGCACCUUGACAGGGACGCGUGCAUGUUAAUAUAUAGAGAUAGAUUACAGGGAUCGACAGGUUGUUUCUAG
RNAcentral lists this ribosomal RNA (492 nucleotides) under Triticum aestivum (bread wheat). Its description in RNAcentral is "partial small subunit ribosomal RNA". Lineage: Eukaryota; Viridiplantae; Streptophyta; Magnoliopsida; Poales; Poaceae. The record is from RNAcentral.